GCGAUAGUUUGACAUAAAAUAUACCAGGAUCAUGAUGAACACCGUGGAGAUAUCUUGUGUCGAUGAAACUAAUCCUCGAUUUCAGAUAAACGUUCAGUAAACAGCGAAACCAGAGCAUCACAGAGCCACUGAAGCUAACUUCCAUAAUGGCACCACGUUGCUAAGCAACUUCGACCUGCGAGCUUCGACAACUCCCCACUCUAGGAAAAAAAUAUGAAAACCAAGUGGAAAUUAAUCAACCGAGGAAUCAAUUAAUGUUCGAUUUUUCAUAAUGAUUUGUCAUCGACAAUUUGAAUCGAAUUCGAUGUAACAACCAUCCUUGAGGAAGAGAAUUGAAAUGAGAAACAAUUCAUAUUAGAACGACUAAUUUUAAUGUAACUACGAAAGUACAAAGAAGGUUGCAACAAUGAUCGAAUUUGAUGGAUGAGAAAAUAAGAAAUGAUCACUGUGAGCAUUAAAAAUUAAGUAAUGAUGAUAAAAAAUCUUGCUUAUAAACAAAAUACGUUACCACCAUCUACAAGACUCCGUGGCGCAACGGUAGCGCGUCUGACUCCAGAUCAGAAGGUUGCGUGUUCAAAUCACGUCGGGGUCAAAAGAGUAUUUUUUGGUGUUGCAAUUUUUUCCAGAUUUUCGAGAUUUCGAAAAGGUCAAAGGGAUUUGAUAUUGUUCAAGAGUCGUUUUAACUUUUUCCGAAAUAGAGUGAUAUACAGAGAGUCGAGCAUUUGCGAAUUAAUUACAACCAUCACGCGGUGUAUUCGCACACCAUUCUCUGAGUAUUACCCCAUAUACAUGGAUAAAAACCGGAAAUUGGGCAAGGGAUGCCGGAGAUUGGGGCACGCUUGCCGGAUGAAACCUCACGCCAGAUGAAGAAUUCCUUCAGCAGGGGUUUACAGUGAUAUACGCUAUAAUUCAUGAGCCUAUCAAGUGACAUUUAAAUCCCACGCGUUUCGUAUAUUUCAUAUCAUGUAGGCAUGUAAACUCAUUGUCAUUUCCUCAUUGUCAAAAGUUUGCUAACUAACUAAUUAAUUAAAUAGUUCUACAGGGAUGAAGGAUAAUAGCAAUUGGUUGGUUGGUUGGGUUGGGUGAAUGACAAGAAAUUAUUUUCUUUGUUAAUUUCAAUUUUCGUACCAAUAAUGACGUAUAUUUUUAUUGAUUUUUUUUAUUCCGUAGCACAGUGACCAGUUUAUUCAUGUUUUUUUACUCAUGCUCGCUUAUAUUUAUUCAUAAUUGUUUAAUCAAUGUUAUUACAACUAUACGAUUAUUAAUAUUAUUGUUAUAAUAAUAUUCUAAUUUUGGUCCACUUCUA
Athalia rosae (coleseed sawfly) is the source of this 1306-nucleotide long non-coding RNA. RefSeq lists it as uncharacterized. NCBI's taxonomy places the organism in Eukaryota, Metazoa, Arthropoda, Insecta, Hymenoptera, Athaliidae. The transcript is spliced from 3 exons. The record is from RefSeq and is a predicted model, not a curated record.